GCUAAGACAGAUUCUCCCGGGGCAAAAGAAAGCCCAAGGAGGGUUGGAAGAACCAUGGCCAGCAAGGGUCACACAGCGAGGAGCAGCAAGGAGGAGGAGGGAGGAACUUACAGGAUUACAGGACAGCCAAAAAAGAGGUUCUAGUCUGCGACAACAUCCUUGCCCACGCCCCUCAUCUCCAACAUCCUGUGCACGCAUACUCUGGCGAGUGGCGGCCUCGAUACUUGGUCGUUUUCA
This 237-nucleotide long non-coding RNA is filed under the name Sorghum bicolor (sorghum). RNAcentral's name for it is "long non-coding RNA (SBIC_LNC017076)". The record is from RNAcentral. Lineage: Eukaryota; Viridiplantae; Streptophyta; Magnoliopsida; Poales; Poaceae.